GGGCUCGCAGGCGGUUUCUUAAGUCUGAUGUGAAAGCCCCCGGCUCAACCGGGGAGGGUCAUUGGAAACUGGGAAACUUGAGUGCAGAAGAGGAGAGUGGAAUUCCACGUGUAGCGGUGAAAUGCGUAGAGAUGUGGAGGAACACCAGUGGCGAAGGCGACUCUCUGGUCUGUAACUGACGCUGAGGAGCGAAAGCGUGGGGAGCGAACAGGAUUAGAUACCCUGGUAGUCCACGCCGUAAACGAUGAGUGCUAAGUGUUAGGGGGUUUCCGCCCCUUAGUGCUGCAGCUAACGCAUUAAGCACUCCGCCUGGGGAGUACGGUCGCAAGACUGAAACUCAAAGGAAUUGACGGGGGCCCGCACAAGCGGUGGAGCAUGUGGUUUAAUUCGAAGCAACGCGAAGAACCUUACCAGGUCUUGACAUCCUCUGACAACCCUAGAGAUAGGGCUUUCCCUUCGGGAACAGAGUGACAGGUGGUGCAUGGUUGUCGUCAGCUCGUGUCGUGAGAUGUUGGGUUAAGUCCCGCAACGAGCGCAACCCUUGAUCUUAGUUGCCAUCAUUUAGUUGGGCACUCUAAGGUGACUGCCGGUGA
RNAcentral lists this ribosomal RNA (593 nucleotides) under Bacillus pumilus. RNAcentral describes it as "bacterial SSU rRNA". It matches the Rfam family "Bacterial small subunit ribosomal RNA", at positions 565 to 1158 of the family's 1533-position model. Lineage: Bacteria; Bacillati; Bacillota; Bacilli; Caryophanales; Bacillaceae. The record is from RNAcentral.